Long non-coding RNA from Eurytemora carolleeae, 442 nucleotides. RefSeq lists it as uncharacterized. The transcript is spliced from 2 exons. NCBI's taxonomy places the organism in Eukaryota, Metazoa, Arthropoda, Copepoda, Calanoida, Temoridae. The record is from RefSeq and is a predicted model, not a curated record.
AAUUAUAUAUUUCUGAUGCACUAUUCAAUUUUCAUAAAGGUAAGUCGUAUAUUUUUCAGUAAACAUCUAGCUUUAAGAGGAGCAACAACUGGCUCUGUCUCAGCGCUUCUAAGAGUACUCAGACAUAAGGGGCUCAAGGUUGAAGUGGUGCCUUUAAACUAACUUUGGAAUCUUGAAAAGAUGAUACCAGCAGUUGAAUUCUAUUUUAAGGAGCUUACAGCAGCAGCCUUCAACAGUCCUGAACCAGAAAGCUCCGGGAUCUAGGAUUCAUCUAUACUAGCUUCUAGCAGCAUCCUUCAACAGUUCUGCACCUUAGAAGCUCCGGGUUCUAGGAUUCAUCUAUACCAACAGUUGAGCAGGUCCCUUACAGCAAUCAGCUCCACGAUUUAAUAACGCUCCAAUAUAUUCCGUAAUAAGUUUUAAAUAAACAUUUCAAAUUUCA